GACGAACGCUGGCGGCGUGCUUAAUACAUGCAAGUCGAACGGAAAGGCCCUGCUUUUGUGGGGUGCUCGAGUGGCGAACGGGUGAGUAACACGUGAGUAGCCUGCCCUUGACUUUGGGAUAACUUCAGGAAACUGGGGCUAAUACCGGAUAGGAGCUCCUGCUGCAUGGUGGGGGUUGGAAAGUUUCGGCGGUUGGGGAUGGACUCGCGGCUUAUCAGCUUGUUGGUGGGGUAGUGGCUUACCAAGGCUUUGACGGGUAGCCGGCCUGAGAGGGUGACCGGCCACAUUGGGACUGAGAUACGGCCCAGACUCCUACGGGAGGCAGCAGUGGGGAAUAUUGCACAAUGGGCGGAAGCCUGAUGCAGCAACGCCGCGUGCGGGAUGACGGCCUUCGGGUUGUAAACCGCUUUCGCCUGUGACGAAGCGUGAGUGACGGUAAUGGGUAAAGAAGCACCGGCUAACUACGUGCCAGCAGCCGCGGUGAUACGUAGGGUGCGAGCGUUGUCCGGAUUUAUUGGGCGUAAAGGGCUCGUAGGUGGUUGAUCGCGUCGGAAGUGUAAUCUUGGGGCUUAACCCUGAGCGUGCUUUCGAUACGGGUUGACUUGAGGAAGGUAGGGGAGAAUGGAAUUCCUGGUGGAGCGGUGGAAUGCGCAGAUAUCAGGAGGAACACCAGUGGCGAAGGCGGUUCUCUGGGCCUUUCCUGACGCUGAGGAGCGAAAGCGUGGGGAGCGAACAGGCUUAGAUACCCUGGUAGUCCACGCUGUAAACGGUGGGUACUAGGUGUGGGGUCCAUUCCACGGGUUCCGUGCCGUAGCUAACGCUUUAAGUACCCCGCCUGGGGAGUACGGCCGCAAGGCUAAAACUCAAAGGAAUUGACGGGGCCCCGCACAAGCGGCGGAGCAUGCGGAUUAGUUCGAUGCAACGCGUAGAACCUUACCUGGGUUUGACAUGGAUCGGGAGUGCUCAGAGAUGGGUGUGCCUCUUUUGGGGUCGGUUCACAGGUGGUGCAUGGCUGUCGUCAGCUCGUGUCGUGAGAUGUUGGGUUAAGUCCCGCAACGAGCGCAACCCUUGUUCACUGUUGCCAGCACGUUAUGGUGGGGACUCAGUGGAGACCGCCGGGGUCAACUCGGAGGAAGGUGGGGAUGACGUCAAGUCAUCAUGCCCCUUAUGUCCAGGGCUUCACGCAUGCUACAAUGGCUGGUACAGAGAGUGGCGAGCCUGUGAGGGUGAGCGAAUCUCGGAAAGCCGGUCUCAGUUCGGAUUGGGGUCUGCAACUCGACCUCAUGAAGUCGGAGUCGCUAGUAAUCGCAGAUCAGCAACGCUGCGGUGAAUACGUUCCCGGG
RNAcentral lists this ribosomal RNA (1343 nucleotides) under uncultured bacterium. RNAcentral's name for it is "16S ribosomal RNA". It matches the Rfam family "Bacterial small subunit ribosomal RNA", at positions 28 to 1378 of the family's 1533-position model. The record is from RNAcentral.